This 585-nucleotide unclassified non-coding RNA is filed under the name Hevea brasiliensis (rubber tree). Lineage: Eukaryota; Viridiplantae; Streptophyta; Magnoliopsida; Malpighiales; Euphorbiaceae. The record is from RNAcentral.
GAAGAUACUGAGGAAGUCGCUAAGGAGGCAGAUACAAAAGCUGUCCUUGAUAAGUUGAAGGACUCAAAGAAGAGUGAUGAUGACUCGAAAAACAUGCCUUCAGAAGGGGAGUCAAAAGAAGAGCCAGGAAGAACUGACCAUAGAAUAGAUGCUGGUGGAGAAAAGAACAAGGAUCGAGAGAAGGACAGGGGCAGAGAUAGGGAGAGGGAGAGGGAUAAGGAAAGACUAAAGUCUCGUGAACGUGAUAGGGGAAGGGAAUCUGACAGGGAAAGGGACAGAGACGACUUCGAAAGGGACAGAGAAAAAUCCAAGGAAAGGAGUCAUCGUUCAAGAGACAAAGGUCACUCAGAGAAACCAAAACAUCAAUCUUCUCGAGAUCGUGAUUACCUGUCUUAUUCAUCACGGGAGAAGGAUCGUCGUAGACAUCAUUAGCUUGGAACGGCCUGAGAGAAUGUGCUCUCAAUCACUGCCAACUUGCUUCAUUAAAGCUUGCCCUAAAUUAUACUUCACCGAUUUCGUGAAUCUGCAUAUGGAGGGUUUAUUUAAUUGGUGGAAAUAGUAUAUCCUCCACCUGUUGAAAUUGGA